Molecule: ribosomal RNA, 207 nt
Filed under: uncultured bacterium
Lineage: Bacteria
Description: partial 16S ribosomal RNA
Rfam family: Bacterial small subunit ribosomal RNA
Source: RNAcentral
AGCGCAGGCGGUCUUUUAAGUCUAAUGUGAAAGCCUUCGACUCAACCGAAGAAGUGCAUUGGAAACUGGGAGACUUGAGUGCAGAAGAGGACAGUGGAACUCCAUGUGUAGCGGUGAAAUGCGUAGAUAUAUGGAAGAACACCAGUGGCGAAGGCGGCUGUCUGGUCUGCAACUGACGCUGAGGCUCGAAAGCAUGGGUAGCGAACA